Stegodyphus dumicola is the source of this 1001-nucleotide long non-coding RNA. NCBI's taxonomy places the organism in Eukaryota, Metazoa, Arthropoda, Arachnida, Araneae, Eresidae. The record is from RefSeq and is a predicted model, not a curated record.
AUUUGAUAUUUUUUUAAUUUUUAAAAAUAUUCAGGUCAAAAUGACAAAUUCACCAGGGCUGAACCUUCAAAAUAGGACAAUCUCAUAUAAACUCGCACAUCUGAAAAGCGCAUUUCCAGUUACCAAGCUUUUGAUUCUUAAACAAACUUAUUUUUCAGUGCAUUUGAUACAUACUUUGCCGCCCAGUUAUAAAGAUUUAUCCUAUUUAAGAAAAGUGGUGUACUAAGGCAGAAUAAAAAUGACAGUUUCUGCAUUAGUAGAAUGUUACAUUUGUGGAAAAUCAAAAGGAAUUUUCUCUGUCAUACAGUACUUUAUUCAGGCGAGAGAAAAGCAUUUUCUUUUUCUGUGAAAAUUGUUUUUAAAUGUAUUGGAUACGAGAAGUUCAAGACCUAAGCUGAGGUUUAUUGAAAGCAGGCGUGGUCAAUGGUGGCUUGUACACAAAGGUUACUACUACCGUAGAGACUGUACUUUACAGUAUAAAACUCAUUGGAGGUGUCGUUGGUAUGAUAAAUGUAAAUGCUACGCUAGAGUUCAUACAAAAAAUGAUGAGGUUGUCAAAGAACUUGGAUUUCAUAAUCAUGAACCAGACUGCUUGCCGGUGCCUGAAGCUUAUGAAAAUAAUUUUUUUCAUUAAGACUGCUAAAGCUCAUUUUAGUAAAGAAAAAAGUUGAGUUUUUCGGCUCUUUACGAAAUAAUUUUGUUGAAGACAAAUAUGUGGGACAAGCACUGAAAAUUGAGGGAACAGCAUUUCCUUUCAGUCGUACUUAAUGGAACGUCAAUUUUCUUCCCCUUUUUUUCCACUGUAUUUCUCAGAAACAUGCUGAAAAUCUUUCUCAUGGAAAUGUAAUUCACAAACCUAAAUCCAGAAAAUGUCAAAAUAGACCUGAUUAAAUUAAUUUUAUAAAGUAAUAAAAGUUAGAUUUCUUGUAAUGCAAAUUUUUUUUUAACAAAACAGGUAAUAUCAAGCAUAUGUGUCUUUAUUUUCCUACUCAGGAGGGGGG